UACGAAGGGGGCUAGCGUUGUUCGGAAUUACUGGGCGUAAAGCGCUCGCAGGCGGAUUAAUAAGUCGGGGGUGAAAUCCCGGGGCUCAACCUCGGAAUUGCCUUCGAUACUGUUAAUCUCGAGUCCGGGAGAGGUGAGUGGAAUUCCUAGUGUAGAGGUGAAAUUCGUAGAUAUUAGGAAGAACACCAGUGGCGAAGGCGGCUCACUGGCCCGGUACUGACGCUCAUGAGCGAAAGCGUGGGGAGCAAACAGG
This 253-nucleotide ribosomal RNA is filed under the name uncultured bacterium. RNAcentral describes it as "partial 16S ribosomal RNA". It matches the Rfam family "Bacterial small subunit ribosomal RNA", at positions 524 to 776 of the family's 1533-position model. The record is from RNAcentral.